This is a long non-coding RNA of Aricia agestis (brown argus), 1120 nucleotides long. RefSeq lists it as uncharacterized. Lineage: Eukaryota; Metazoa; Arthropoda; Insecta; Lepidoptera; Lycaenidae. The record is from RefSeq and is a predicted model, not a curated record. The transcript has 2 exons.
UUAUGUUUGUAUAAAAAAAACUUGUAUUCUGUUCUGUAAGCAUUACCUAUAACACUAGUCUCACGUCAGAGCCUCAAGACAUCCAGAGCCAUGGCACUCAAGCUAUUCCUGUUCAUUGCGCUUAUAAUCCAGUGUAUAUUCGGGGUGUUCGCUUCACCGCUGGCGCCGGCUCUGGUGGUGGAGAACACCAGCUCGGUGGCCCUCGCCGCGCGGAACAGCGGCCUCAACAUACGAGUGCUCAGACGACCGAUACGAUAUUGAUUGUAUUGUGUAAAUAAGUUUAUAUUGUCUUACUUGGAACAUAGCCUCACUAACGUCGAAAUAGGAUACAGAAUAGAACGGUAACUCUCAUAUACUGGACAACAUGGCUGCAGUUGGACAUAAAAAUUUAAAAUUCAUGAUCCAGCUCACAACCAACUAAAAGUACGAAUGUUCCACGAAAACAUGCUUACAUAAUGUAAGUGUGAAUUUCGUGAAACCAUUUUUUUGGUUCAGUUUUUCUUCAAUAACUAGUACUUUUUAUUCAAGGGCGUCGCCAGCAUACGACCAAGGGGUAAUAAGGGAGGAUAAAAAAUCUGAACGCCUGGUACAGUCGAGAGAGUUGUAAUAAGAACGGUUCUGAAUUCUGAUAUCAAUAUUAUCAAUUGAUCUCUAGGGGGGGCAACCGCCCCCUCUCUCUGCCUCCCCUUGGCGACAUCCUUGCUUUUAUUCGUAGCUCAUAGUAUUGCAAGUUUAUGAACAUUGUAUCAGCCAAUACUGUACAGCCAUUUUAUUUAAAGUGCUCUAAAUAGUUAAAUUUAAUUCCAAGCUUUUUAAAUCAUUUAUGUUAAAAAAAACGAUUUCAAAUGCACCCAAAAAUUUGGUGAUUCAAGUGCAGGCUAUUUUCUCAGUCAAGUCAUUAUAGUAAUUAAGGUUAUUUAUUCCGAAGUAAUUUAUUAUCGCACACUCGACAAAAUUUACUGCUGGCUCAGUGAAUGCGUGACAUAAUGAGAACUCAUGACACGAGUGCAAUCACAGACAUAAUAAAAUCGUGCCAUAAGCAAGAUUAUUAUUCUUGUGUGUUUUUGUAUAUUACAACGACUCCAACUUACAUUUUAUCAUUAAAUUAAUUUAAACUUCA